AGCAGCCGCGGUAAUUCCAGCUCCAAUAGCGUAUAUUAAAGUUGUUGCAGUUAAAAAGCUCGUAGUUGAAUUUCGGGAUCAAAGGAUCGGUCAUGCCUUGGUAUGUACUGGUUUUAUUGGUUCUCACCUUCUAAAGAACCAUAAUGUCAUUCAUUUGAUGUUGUGGGGAAUUAGGACUGUUACCUUGAAAAAUUAGAGUGUUUAAAGCAGGCUUACGCUUGAAUACAUUAGCAUGGAAUAAUGAAAUAGGACAUCAGAUUCUAUUUUGUUGGUUUCUAGGAUCGAUGUAAUGAUUAAUAGGGAUAGUUGGGGGCAUUAGUAUUCAAUUGUCAGAGGUGAAAUUCUUGGAUUUAUUGAAGACUAACUACUGCGAAAGCAUUUGCCAAGGAUGUUUUCAUUAAUCAAGAACGAAAGUUAGGGGAUCGAAGACGAUCAGAUACCGUCGUAGUCUUAACCAUAAACUAUGCCGACUAGGGACCGGAUGAUGUUAAUUUUAUAAUGACUCAUUCGGCUACCG
Molecule: unclassified non-coding RNA, 517 nt
Filed under: uncultured Glomus
Lineage: Eukaryota; Fungi; Glomeromycota; Glomeromycetes; Glomerales; Glomeraceae
Description: SSU rRNA
Rfam family: Eukaryotic small subunit ribosomal RNA
Source: RNAcentral